RNAcentral lists this ribosomal RNA (253 nucleotides) under uncultured bacterium. Its description in RNAcentral is "partial 16S ribosomal RNA". It matches the Rfam family "Bacterial small subunit ribosomal RNA", at positions 524 to 776 of the family's 1533-position model. The record is from RNAcentral.
GACGAACCGUGCGAACGUUGUUCGGAAUCACUGGGCUUAAAGGGCGCGUAGGCGGGCGGCCAAGUCGGAGGUGAAAGCCUACAGCUUAACUGUAGAAUUGCCAUUGAUACUGAUGAUCUUGAGUAUGAUUGAGGUGGGCGGAAUGUGUCAUGUAGCGGUGAAAUGCUUAGAUAUGACACAGAACACCGAUUGCGAAGGCAGCUCACUAAGCCAUAACUGACGCUGAUGCACGAAAGCGUGGGGAGCAAACAGG